GAGUGAUAGUGAUAGCUGGUCUAGGUAGACAGGUGGGUAGAGUGAUAGUGAUAGCUGGUCUAGGUAGACAGGUGGGUAGAGUGAUAGCUGGUCUAGGUAGACAGGUGG
Salmo salar (Atlantic salmon) is the source of this 108-nucleotide non-coding RNA. NCBI's taxonomy places the organism in Eukaryota, Metazoa, Chordata, Actinopteri, Salmoniformes, Salmonidae. The record is from RefSeq and is a predicted model, not a curated record.